GAUGAACGCUGGCGGCGUGCCUAAUACAUGCAAGUCGAGCGAACGGACGAGAAGCUUGCUUCUCUGAUGUUAGCGGCGGACGGGUGAGUAACACGUGGAUAACCUACCUAUAAGACUGGGAUAACUUCGGGAAACCGGAGCUAAUACCGGAUAAUAUUUUGAACCGCAUGGUUCAAAAGUGAAAGACGGUCUUGCUGUCACUUAUAGAUGGAUCCGCGCUGCAUUAGCUAGUUGGUAAGGUAACGGCUUACCAAGGCAACGAUGCAUAGCCGACCUGAGAGGGUGAUCGGCCACACUGGAACUGAGACACGGUCCAGACUCCUACGGGAGGCAGCAGUAGGGAAUCUUCCGCAAUGGGCGAAAGCCUGACGGAGCAACGCCGCGUGAGUGAUGAAGGUCUUCGGAUCGUAAAACUCUGUUAUUAGGGAAGAACAUAUGUGUAAGUAACUGUGCACAUCUUGACGGUACCUAAUCAGAAAGCCACGGCUAACUACGUGCCAGCAGCCGCGGUAAUACGUAGGUGGCAAGCGUUAUCCGGAAUUAUUGGGCGUAAAGCGCGCGUAGGCGGUUUUUUAAGUCUGAUGUGAAAGCCCGCGGCUCAACCGUGGAGGGUCAUUGGAAACUGGAAAACUUGAGUGCAGAAGAGGAAAGUGGAAUUCCAUGUGUAGCGGUGAAAUGCGCAGAGAUAUGGAGGAACACCAGUGGCGAAGGCGACUUUCUGGUCUGUAACUGACGCUGAUGUGCGAAAGCGUGGGGAUCAAACAGGAUUAGAUACCCUGGUAGUCCACGCCGUAAACGAUGAGUGCUAAGUGUUAGGGGGUUUCCGCCCCUUAGUGCUGCAGCUAACGCAUUAAGCACUCCGCCUGGGGAGUACGACCGCAAGGUUGAAACUCAAAGGAAUUGACGGGGACCCGCACAAGCGGUGGAGCAUGUGGUUUAAUUCGAAGCAACGCGAAGAACCUUACCAAAUCUUGACAUCCUUUGACAACUCUAGAGAUAGAGCCUUCCCCUUCGGGGGACAAAGUGACAGGUGGUGCAUGGUUGUCGUCAGCUCGUGUCGUGAGAUGUUGGGUUAAGUCCCGCAACGAGCGCAACCCUUAAGCUUAGUUGCCAUCAUUAAGUUGGGCACUCUAAGUUGACUGCCGGUGACAAACCGGAGGAAGGUGGGGAUGACGUCAAAUCAUCAUGCCCCUUAUGAUUUGGGCUACACACGUGCUACAAUGGACAAUACAAAGGGCAGCGAAACCGCGAGGUCAAGCAAAUCCCAUAAAGUUGUUCUCAGUUCGGAUUGUAGUCUGCAACUCGACUACAUGAAGCUGGAAUCGCUAGUAAUCGUAGAUCAGCAUGCUACGGUGAAUACGUUCCCGGGUCU
Molecule: ribosomal RNA, 1372 nt
Filed under: uncultured bacterium
Lineage: Bacteria
Description: bacterial SSU rRNA
Rfam family: Bacterial small subunit ribosomal RNA
Source: RNAcentral